AAUAGAUACCCGGGUAGUCCACGCCGUAAACGAUGAGUGCUAAGUGUUAGGGGGUUUCCGCCCCUUAGUGCUGCAGCUAACGCAUUAAGCACUCCGCCUGGGGAGUACGGUCGCAAGACUGAAACUCAAAGGAAUUGACGGGGGCCCGCACAAGCGGUGGAGCAUGUGGUUUAAUUCGAAGCAACGCGAAGAACCUUACCAGGUCUUGACAUCCCAUUGACCACUAUGGAGACAUAGUUUUCCCUUCGGGGACAACGGUGACAGGUGGUGCAUGGUUGUCGUCAGCUCGUGUCGUGAGAUGUUGGGUUAAGUCCCGCAACGAGCGCAACCCUUGUUCUUAGUUGCCAUCAUUUAGUUGGGCACUCUAAGGAGACUGCCGGUGACAAACCGGAGGAAGGUGGGGAUGACGUCAAAUCAUCAUGCCCCUUAUGACCUGGGCUACACACGUGCUACAAUGGACGGUACAAACGGUUGCCAACCCGCGAGGGGGAGCUAAUCCGAUAAAACCGUUCUCAGUUCGGAUUGUAGGCUGCAACUCGCCUACAUGAAGCC
RNAcentral lists this ribosomal RNA (552 nucleotides) under uncultured bacterium. RNAcentral describes it as "bacterial SSU rRNA". It matches the Rfam family "Bacterial small subunit ribosomal RNA", at positions 777 to 1327 of the family's 1533-position model. The record is from RNAcentral.